GCAAGGUUAACCGAAUAGGGGAGCCGAAGGGAAACCGAGUCUUAACUGGGCGUUAAGUUGCAGGGUAUAGACCCGAAACCCGGUGAUCUAGCCAUGGGCAGGUUGAAGGUUGGGUAACACUAACUGGAGGACCGAACCGACUAAUGUUGAAAAAUUAGCGGAUGACUUGUGGCUGGGGGUGAAAGGCCAAUCAAACCGGGAGAUAGCUGGUUCUCCCCGAAAGCUAUUUAGGUAGCGCCUCGUGAAUUCAUCUCCGGGGGUAGAGCACUGUUUCGGCAAGGGGGUCAUCCCGACUUACCAACCCGAUGCAAACUGCGAAUACCGGAGAAUGUUAUCACGGGAGACACACGGCGGGUGCUAACGUCCGUCGUGAAGAGGGAAACAACCCAGACCGCCAGCUAAGGUCCCAAAGUCAUGGUUAAGUGGGAAACGAUGUGGGAAGGCCCAGACAGCCAGGAUGUUGGCUUAGAAGCAGCCAUCAUUUAAAGAAAGCGUAAUAGCUCACUGGUCGAGUCGGCCUGCGCGGAAGAUGUAACGGGGCUAAACCAUGCACCGAAGCUGCGGCAGCGACACUAUGUGUUGUUGGGUAGGGGAGCG
This 597-nucleotide ribosomal RNA is filed under the name Escherichia coli. RNAcentral's name for it is "partial 23S ribosomal RNA". It matches the Rfam family "Bacterial large subunit ribosomal RNA", at positions 640 to 1238 of the family's 2925-position model. Lineage: Bacteria; Pseudomonadati; Pseudomonadota; Gammaproteobacteria; Enterobacterales; Enterobacteriaceae. The record is from RNAcentral.